UCCCUGGUGGCUCAGAUGGUAAAGCAUCUGUCUACAAUGCAGGAGACCCAGGUUCGAUCUCCGGGUAGGGAA
This 72-nucleotide transfer RNA is filed under the name Ovis aries (sheep). It matches the Rfam family "tRNA". From Rfam's summary of the family: Transfer RNA (tRNA) molecules are approximately 80 nucleotides in length. Their secondary structure includes four short double-helical elements and three loops (D, anti-codon, and T loops). Further hydrogen bonds mediate the characteristic L-shaped molecular structure. tRNAs have two regions of fundamental functional importance: the anti-codon, which is responsible for specific mRNA codon recognition, and the 3' end, to which the tRNAs corresponding amino acid is attached (by aminoacyl-tRNA synthetases). tRNAs cope with the degeneracy of the genetic code in two manners: having more than one tRNA (with a specific anti-codon) for a particular amino acid; and 'wobble' base-pairing, i.e. permitting non-standard base-pairing at the 3rd anti-codon position. Lineage: Eukaryota; Metazoa; Chordata; Mammalia; Artiodactyla; Bovidae. The record is from Rfam by way of RNAcentral.